RNAcentral lists this transfer RNA (83 nucleotides) under Ornithorhynchus anatinus (platypus). RNAcentral's name for it is "tRNA-Leu (CAG) (tRNA-Leu-CAG-15-1)". It matches the Rfam family "tRNA". From Rfam's summary of the family: Transfer RNA (tRNA) molecules are approximately 80 nucleotides in length. Their secondary structure includes four short double-helical elements and three loops (D, anti-codon, and T loops). Lineage: Eukaryota; Metazoa; Chordata; Mammalia; Monotremata; Ornithorhynchidae. The record is from Rfam by way of RNAcentral.
GUCAGGAUGGCCAAGCGGUAUAAGGCACUGCAUUCAGGUUGUAGUCUCCUCUGGAGGUGUGGGUUCAAAUCCCUCCUCUGACA